RNAcentral lists this transfer RNA (75 nucleotides) under bacterium. RNAcentral's name for it is "tRNA-Pro". It matches the Rfam family "tRNA". From Rfam's summary of the family: Transfer RNA (tRNA) molecules are approximately 80 nucleotides in length. Their secondary structure includes four short double-helical elements and three loops (D, anti-codon, and T loops). The record is from RNAcentral.
CGGGGAGUGGCGUAGCCUGGUUAACGCGCACGUCUGGGGGGCGUGAGAGCGGGGGUUCAAAUCCCCCCUCCCCGA